GGGCUAUCAUACAGUCUCAAAGGCAACAUAACCAAUCUGGCGAAUUUCAAUGUGAAAAAACUGAAACACAAGCCUUUUAUUUGACUCUGUAACGUUUGAAAACACCAUAAAACCUGUACAUGAAGGGUACUGUUAUACUCAAGAGACUUCACUGAAAACAAAUAUUAGUGUUUCAAAACCGUAAAACAUAUCACAGCAAUGAUAUCGUCCGUGUAAGUGCUGUUUGUGUGUGAAAAAUGCAAAAAACUUCACUUUUACUGGCGAUAUCAUCAUUGUAAUACAUUUUACUGUUUUGAAACACUAAUAUUUGUGUUCAGCAAAGUCUUCUGAGUAAAACAGUACCCCCCAUGUUUUAUGGUGUCUUGGGAAGUUACAGGGUUAAAUAUAGUGCUAGCAAAUUAAAUUCCCUUUACUUUCGGCCUGGGUUGUCAGGCAGGUCCGGCAAAUUGUAAUUAAUAAAAUGACCUAAUUAUGUUAAAUUAUAU
Non-coding RNA from Pelobates cultripes (western spadefoot toad), 485 nucleotides. Lineage: Eukaryota; Metazoa; Chordata; Amphibia; Anura; Pelobatidae. The record is from the annotation of a GenBank genome assembly.